RNAcentral lists this ribosomal RNA (676 nucleotides) under Takifugu oblongus (lattice blaasop). Its description in RNAcentral is "partial large subunit ribosomal RNA". It matches the Rfam family "Bacterial large subunit ribosomal RNA", at positions 1766 to 2630 of the family's 2925-position model. Lineage: Eukaryota; Metazoa; Chordata; Actinopteri; Tetraodontiformes; Tetraodontidae. The record is from RNAcentral.
ACAUGAUCUGAGUUCAGACCGGUCGCCUGUUUAUCAAAAACAUCGCCUCUUGCUUCAGUGAAUAAGAGGUCACGCCUGCCCUGUGACUAUAUGUUUAACGGCCGCGGUAUUUUGACCGUGCAAAGGUAGCGCAAUCACUUGUCCUUUAAAUGUGGACCUGUAUGAAUGGCAUAACGAGGGCUUAGCUGUCUCCUUUCUCAAGUCAAUGAAUUUGAUCUCCCCGUGCAGAAGCGGGGAUAAAACCAUAAGACGAGAAGACCCUAUGGAGCUUUAGACAAAAGACAGCCCCUGUCAAUAAACCCCAAAUAAAGGGAAUAAACCUAGUGAACCUGUUUUAAUGUCUUUGGUUGGGGCGACCGCGGGGUAACAAAAAACCCCCAUGUGGAAUGAAAAUACCCUUUUUAAAACCAAGAGUCACCACUCUAGGAUACAGAACAUCUGACCAAUAAUGAUCCGGCUAAAGCCGAUUAACGAACCGAGUUACCCUAGGGAUAACAGCGCAAUCCUCUUUUAGAGCCCAUAUCGACAAGAGGGUUUACGACCUCGAUGUUGGAUCAGGACAUCCUAAUGGUGCAGCCGCUAUUAAAGGUUCGUUUGUUCAACGAUUAAAGUCCUACAUGAUCUGAGUUCAGACCGGUCGCCUGUUUAUCAAAAACAUGAUCUGAGUUCAGACCGG